This is a small nucleolar RNA of Bison bison bison, 148 nucleotides long. Lineage: Eukaryota; Metazoa; Chordata; Mammalia; Artiodactyla; Bovidae. The record is from Ensembl.
UCACAGCUGUUCCUCUCACUGCUUGGAGUCUUAGGUGGUGGAAUUACAGUCCAUCAUGUAUCUAAGCUGACAUGCCUUCCCGCAGGGUACUAUGAGGAUGGCUUGGCUGUUUUCUAGUGCCUUCUGGUUUUUGUGGAGUCACACAGUU